Molecule: ribosomal RNA, 469 nt
Filed under: uncultured bacterium
Lineage: Bacteria
Description: partial 16S ribosomal RNA
Rfam family: Bacterial small subunit ribosomal RNA
Source: RNAcentral
GACGAACGCUGGCGGCGUGCUUAACACAUGCAAGUCGAACGAUGAAGCACCAGCUUGCUGGUGUGGAUUAGUGGCGAACGGGUGAGUAACACGUGAGUAACCUGCCCCUCACUCUGGGAUAAGCCUGGGAAACUGGGUCUAAUACUGGAUACGACCGAUCUCCGCAUGGAGUGUUGGUGGAAAGUUUUUGUGGUGGGGGAUGGACUCGCGGCCUAACAGCUUGUUGGUGGGGUAAUGGCCUACCAAGGCGACGACGGGUAGCCGGCCUGAGAGGGCGACCGGCCACACUGGGACUGAGACACGGCCCAGACUCCUACGGGAGGCAGCAGUGGGGAAUAUUGCACAAUGGGCGAAAGCCUGAUGCAGCGACGCCGCGUGAGGGAUGACGGCCUUCGGGUUGUAAACCUCUUUCACCAGGGACGAAGCUAACGUGACGGUACCUGGAGAAGAAGCACCGGCUAACUACGUG